This 410-nucleotide long non-coding RNA is filed under the name Setaria viridis. Its description in RNAcentral is "long non-coding RNA (SVIR_LNC000719)". The record is from RNAcentral. Lineage: Eukaryota; Viridiplantae; Streptophyta; Magnoliopsida; Poales; Poaceae.
UUAGUAGUAAUUCGGUUCGUUGCUCCGCCUAGGUUAGAAAUGAAUCGUGUUUUGUCAUGGUUCCGUCCCUGCCUCCGCCGUCCUACCGCCCUGACCGCCGCCGUCACAACCUAGGCACCGCCUGUGGUUCCGUCCCCGCCUCUGCCCGCCGCCCCGGCCUCCGCAAAUUCAUGUUAUUGCUAGAAAUUCAUAAAAAUUCAUGUUAUUGCUAGAAAUUCGUAAAAAUUCAUGUUAUUGCUAGAAAUUCGUACAAAUUCAUGUUAUUGCUAGAAAUUUGAAAAAAUUCAUGUUAUUGCUAAAAACUCGUACAAAAUUCAUGUUAUUGCUAGAAAUUCGUAAAAAUUCAUGUUAUUGCUAGAAAUUCGUAAAAAUUCAUGUUAUUGCUAGAAAUUCGUAAAAAUUCAUGUUAU